RNAcentral lists this long non-coding RNA (1067 nucleotides) under Anser cygnoides (Swan goose). RNAcentral describes it as "lncRNA (ENSACDG00005015447.1)". The record is from RNAcentral. Lineage: Eukaryota; Metazoa; Chordata; Aves; Anseriformes; Anatidae.
GGAUAAUUUAUUUGAUUUCAAAAUGCUGCCACAUUUAUACAUGGAAAACUUUAAAGAAAAUUAAACUCAUUAAAAAAAACACAUAAAUUGUUUUUGCAACAAAGCAAUUAAGAAAUCUUGCCUCUCCAGCAUGGUGGGCAACAUUCUAAAUAAAAUAAAGCCCAAAUUACCUUUUGCUGGAAACAAAGUAAGAGCUAUCUCUUGUGACUUAAUAAGAAAUUGAGGUUUUUAGAAUUAGUAAAAAGAUUUAGAAGCUCCCUUCUAUAUGUGUUGCUAAGCAUUUUGCUGAAAUUGCCUCAGUAAAAAAGCAAACAAUUCAAAAGGAUCACAUCUAUGAGAGAAUUUCUUUUUUGCCAACUAAAUUACUCUGCUUUACGGGAUGCAGAAGGGAGUCAAGGAUUUUAUUUUCUUCCUUCAGUGCAUGGAUAUACAAAGGUUUGAUAGGGUUUAGCUUUGUUUUAUUUCCAUUGUCUUAGCUUCUCACUACUCCUUAAAACCCCUACGUUUCUAUGGGAACAGAGAAAUAACACAGAGUCAAUGGAUUGAAAAAUAUGGGGCCUGUCCUCCAAGCCCUGAGGCGUGGGCUUUGUGCUCACCAGCAGCCCCUUUGAAGGCAGAGACGGGAACCAGGCGCCCCUGGCUCGUGGGGUGGCGGUGGGCACGGUGCUGCCAGCUGCAGGAGCUGCCCCAUGGCCCUGCGGGGCGAGCCGUUGGGCGAGGGCGGUCCUGGCCGGGGCUUUGGGCAUGUACAGGCUGCAGCACAAUUUGGAGCGCUGGGUAAGAUGUCCUGGAACAAGAGCACUUUGAUUCCUCUGACUGUGGCCAGUGCCCAGCCGGGCCCACACCAUGCAUUGCUCUCCUCCUGCGCCGAGCCAAGUGAAAAAGGGUGCAAGGACAGGUGGCAGCCGCUUCCAGGGGAUGUCCUGCUCUGGGGCCUGGUGUUCAUUUUUUUGUUGCCCUGCUGGGUACAGAAUAAAACGUCAGGUAUUUAUAUGUUUGAAGUCAUAUUUACCUGUCCAGUUAAUGAUACAGAGUCUCGUCUUACCCUUUGCAAUCCAGAAAUAUGA